CCUGAACAUCACCCUGAGGCUCAUCACAGUACCAGCAAACGUGCAGCUCACUAGUUCCAGACUCUCUGCUCUGAGGACACAUGAAGCUGAUGGACACUCACACACCUGCAGACCAAUCGAGAGCGAGCAGGACAAAGAGAAACGCACAGCGGGCAUUAGGCAUUGGGAGCUGAAGGAGGAGCUGAAGGAGGAGAC
Molecule: long non-coding RNA, 195 nt
Organism: Solea senegalensis (Senegalese sole)
Lineage: Eukaryota; Metazoa; Chordata; Actinopteri; Pleuronectiformes; Soleidae
Exons: 3
Source: RefSeq, a predicted model, not a curated record